This 459-nucleotide ribosomal RNA is filed under the name uncultured bacterium. RNAcentral's name for it is "bacterial SSU rRNA". It matches the Rfam family "Bacterial small subunit ribosomal RNA", at positions 340 to 791 of the family's 1533-position model. The record is from RNAcentral.
UACGGGAGGCAGCAGUGGGGAAUAUUGCACAAUGGGCGCAAGCCUGAUGCAGCCAUGCCGCGUGUAUGAAGAAGGCCUUCGGGUUGUAAAGUACUUUCAGUCGUGAGGAAGGUGUUAAGGUUAAUAACCUUAGCAAUUGACGUUAGCGACAGAAGAAGCACCGGCUAACUCCGUGCCAGCAGCCGCGGUAAUACGGAGGGUGCGAGCGUUAAUCGGAAUUACUGGGCGUAAAGGGCACGCAGGCGGUUAAUUAAGUUGGAUGUGAAAUCCCCGGGCUUAACCUGGGAAUGGCAUUCAAGACUGGUUAGCUAGAGUCUUGUAGAGGGGGUAGAAUUCCGAUGUGUAGCGGUGAAAUGCGUAGAGAUGUGGAGGAAUACCGGUGGCGAAGGCGGCCCCUGGACAAAGGCUGACGCUCAUGUGCGAAAGCGUGGGGAGCGAAACAGGGAUUAGAUACCCGGU